Molecule: unclassified non-coding RNA, 225 nt
Filed under: Hevea brasiliensis (rubber tree)
Lineage: Eukaryota; Viridiplantae; Streptophyta; Magnoliopsida; Malpighiales; Euphorbiaceae
Source: RNAcentral
GUUUUGCCCUGUCUCCAGCAGACUUAACAACUUCCCCCUUGUCUCGUUAAAGCGUUCAUAAAGAAAGGAAUCCUCUAAUAAUUUUGAUAUUUGAUCAAAUAGUUUAGCAGACAUAAUCCUUGAUUGGCUUUCAUUGAGGAAACCAGAGACUCUUUCUGACAAGAGUAUAAAUGUUUCCGUAAGCUCGUUUACUACUCUUGACUCAUCCCACAAUGUUGAAAUAGC